UGUCAGCCGCCGCGGUAAUACGUAGGUGACUAGCGUUGUUCGGAUUUAUUGGGCGUAAAGGGUCCGCAGGGGGUCGGCUAAGUCUGAUGUGAAAUACCAAGGCUCAACCUUGGAACUGCAUUGGAAACUGGUUGGCUAGAGUAUCGGAGAGGAGAUUGGAAUUCCUGGUGUAGCGGUGGAAUGCGUAGAUAUCAGGAGGAACACCAAAGGCGAAGGCAGAUCUCUGGACGAUUACUGACCCUCAGGGACGAAAGUAUGGGGAUCAAACAGGAUUAGAUACCCUGGUAGUCCAUACUGUAAACGUUGUGAACUUGACGUGGGAGGAUUUAGUCCCUUCCGUGUCGGAGCUAACGCGAUAAGUUCACCGCCUGGGGACUACGGCCGCAAGGCUAAAACUUAAAGGAAUUGACGG
RNAcentral lists this ribosomal RNA (412 nucleotides) under uncultured bacterium. Its description in RNAcentral is "bacterial SSU rRNA". It matches the Rfam family "Bacterial small subunit ribosomal RNA", at positions 506 to 916 of the family's 1533-position model. The record is from RNAcentral.